GAUGAACGCUGGCGGCGUGCCUAAUACAUGCAAGUCGAGCGAACAGACGAGGAGCUUGCUCCUCUGACGCUAGCGGCGGACGGGUGAGUAACACGUGGAUAACCUACCUAUAAGACUGGGAUAACUUCGGGAAACUGGAGCUAAUACCGGAUAAUAUAUUGAACCGCAUGGUUCAAUAGUGAAAGACGGUUUUGCUGUCACUUAUAGAUGGAUCCGCGCCGCAUUAGCUAGUUGGUAAGGUAACGGCUUACCAAGGCAACGAUGCGUAGCCGACCUGAGAGGGUGAUCGGCCACACUGGAACUGAGACACGGUCCAGACUCCUACGGGAGGCAGCAGUAGGGAAUCUUCCGCAAUGGGCGAAAGCCUGACGGAGCAACGCCGCGUGAGUGAUGAAGGUCUUCGGAUCGUAAAACUCUGUUAUUAGGGAAGAACAAAUGUGUAAGUAACUAUGCACGUCUUGACGGUACCUAAUCAGAAAGCCACGGCUAACUACGUG
Molecule: ribosomal RNA, 497 nt
Filed under: uncultured bacterium
Lineage: Bacteria
Description: partial 16S ribosomal RNA
Rfam family: Bacterial small subunit ribosomal RNA
Source: RNAcentral